GGCGCGAAAACUUUACAAUGCUGGCAACAGCGAUAAGGGAACCUCGAGUGCCAGGUUACAAAUCUGGCUGUCGAGAUGCCUAAAAAGCAUUUCAUAGCAAGGGCCGGGCAAGACCGGUGCCAGCCGCCGCGGUAACACCGGCGGCUCGAGUGGUAACCGUUAUUAUUGGGUCUAAAGGGUCUGUAGCCGGCCUGAUAAGUCUCUUGAGAAAUCUGGCAGCUUAACUGUCAGGCUUUCAGGAGAUACUGUCUGGCUCGAGGCCGGGAGAGGUGAGAGGUACUUCAGGGGUAGGGGUGAAAUCUUGUAAUCCUUGAAGGACCACCAGUGGCGAAGGCGUCUCACCAGAACGGACCUGACGGCAAGGGACGAAAGCUAGGGGCACGAACCGGAUUAGAUACCCGUGUAGUCC
This 409-nucleotide ribosomal RNA is filed under the name uncultured bacterium. Its description in RNAcentral is "partial 16S ribosomal RNA". It matches the Rfam family "Archaeal small subunit ribosomal RNA", at positions 338 to 747 of the family's 1478-position model. The record is from RNAcentral.